RNAcentral lists this ribosomal RNA (253 nucleotides) under uncultured bacterium. Its description in RNAcentral is "partial 16S ribosomal RNA". It matches the Rfam family "Bacterial small subunit ribosomal RNA", at positions 524 to 776 of the family's 1533-position model. The record is from RNAcentral.
UACGGAGGGUGCAAACGUUGCUCGGAAUCAUUGGGCGUAAAGCGCACGUAGGCGGCCUGUUAAGUCGGGUGUGAAAGCCCUGGGCUCAACCCAGGAAGUGCACUCGAAACUGGCGGGCUUGAAUAUGGAAGAGGGUCGCGGAAUUCCCGGUGUAGAGGUGAAAUGCGCAGAUAUCAGGAGGAACACCAAUUGCGAAGGCAGCUCGCUGGGACGUAACUGACGCUGAGACGCGAAAGCGUGGGGAGCAAACAGG